Molecule: long non-coding RNA, 201 nt
Organism: Maniola jurtina (meadow brown)
Lineage: Eukaryota; Metazoa; Arthropoda; Insecta; Lepidoptera; Nymphalidae
Exons: 3
Source: RefSeq, a predicted model, not a curated record
ACGCGAGCGAGAAGAACUCAUGUUGGAUACGUAUGGCGUUGUCCUUGUCUGGGCUCUCAGCUCAGACCUCAGCUCUACCGCGGUUACACACACACACACACACACAUAAAUCGUGUGCGGACAGGCCGGUGUUCCGUUAGUAGUAAUUGAUAAUUAAAUUAGUUCGCUUGUGUGGAGUGUUGGGGUCGUGAUAAAGUGCUC